UAUUUGGUUGUCACUCGUAGCAUUGGUGUUGGUGUCACAGAUUCAAGAAUGUGUGAGUAUUUGGUGUUACUCCUGCCAUUCUUUCAGCGAACCAGCAUGUGGAGAUGAGUUCCGGUUGGGAAGUGGUAACCAUCAAGCACGCUCUCAGUGUGAUGGCCCCUCGUCAUGUGUAAAACGACGAGGGAAGAGAAAAUAUUCUGAAGGAGUAAGCAAAGUUGAAGUAGAAAGGACUUGCAUUCCCCGUCGCCCAGAGGGAUGUUACACAGAAAGUAAAUAUGGUAUAGAACAAUAUUCAUGCUCCUGCAACUCAAAUUUCUGCAAUUCUUCUCCGAGAAUCAUCUCAAAGAGUACAAAUACAAUUUUGUUGUCUGUCGUUUUUACAUCGCUUUUAUACCUUGGACAGAAACAUUUGUUUUCAUGGCAUUAAGACUGAAGAAUUGUCAAUGUCAUUCCAGUAUCAUAGUGGCCAACUCUUACGAAAAAAAGUUAUUUGAUAUGUUUUUGAGUGUUUGAAGUUUGAGUAUGGACGUCUGUUUUUGUAUACAAAAAUAUUUAUUCUCCAUUUUUUUGUAUUGCUUCUCAUGGACUUUCCAAUACUGAAGAAAAAUUAUGAACUUUCAAGACCUGAUUUAUGAAUAGGCCUAAUAAUGAGAACAAAGCCCAGAAGCAGUUUGCAGCUGUGUCCCUUAUCAUAGUUCGCUAUUGAGCAUAAAUUUAUUGAAUGCAGAAAAGUGUGUGAAGGGUUUUGAGUGGGGAUACUUGGCUAAUGGCGACCGUCUUAACCAGCCACAUGGGUAGAGCUUUUUUUUCCUUCCAAGUGGGAAGCUAUGCAGUGAAGUUAGACCUGAGGUGUCUCGAAAACAGUACACUCACAAGGUAAAGGCCUACUUCAGCCCUCCAUGCGGAACUUGCAUGACCUUUUGUGCAAAUCCAGGUUUCCACUCUCUGUGGAGCGAACAUGGUGGUAGCCGUGACAUCAAGCCCUAAAGAUGAUUUUAACUUAUUUUACGAUUGGGGAGGGAUGUGGUCUAGAUUUAUUUUAACUGGUUUUUCUUGUGCUUUUAAGAUUUGAUCAAUUUGAGUCCUCCAUUUGCCCCUAAUAAAAUAAUGGGAUUGUUUGACACCAUUACUUUUGGGAUAAAUUUUGCUGUACUGCACAAUGAGCAAGGAUAUUGUGGGCAUAGCUGUGACCCUGACUUUAAUGUUUUGGUGACACGACUGUCGUGCUAUAUCUGUGAUCAUUGUUACGCAAGACUUAGGCUUGUCGCUAUUAUACUGAGAACUCUUUGUACCGCUGCUGAUCAACAAGUGCCUUAUAGUCUCUUAAAUUUUGCUUCCUUCCUCCUGGGAAGUACUUUGGUCACUGACAUAACAGCGCAAGUAGAAAUCUAAUCUAAAGCGCAUGUUUCUUUAUCUACUUAACAUUACGCAUCCAUGUAAUAUUUGAUGAUUUCAAAGUUGUCUUGCUUUUUAUGGGCAGUUGUCGCAUCCACUUGUAAGAUUAUGUAGUACAAACAUAUAUCAAAAUGUGAGGCAUCAUGGUGAAAUCAUUCGCGUGUCAAAACAAUUAAAUCGAA
Molecule: long non-coding RNA, 1577 nt
Filed under: Aplysia californica (California sea hare)
Lineage: Eukaryota; Metazoa; Mollusca; Gastropoda; Aplysiida; Aplysiidae
Description: uncharacterized LOC101848947
Source: RNAcentral